This 1687-nucleotide long non-coding RNA is filed under the name Phocoena sinus (vaquita). Its description in RNAcentral is "lncRNA (ENSPSNG00000022099.1)". The record is from RNAcentral. Lineage: Eukaryota; Metazoa; Chordata; Mammalia; Artiodactyla; Phocoenidae.
CAAACAGCCCUGGGCUGACAGCCUGCACUUUGGGGACCCAGUUCCAGUAGUAGCAUUGAAAGCUAGACUUCCCUUGUAAUUUAGCCCCAAGCUGUAGCCCGAUAUAAAUAAUAUGAAUCCCCACAAAACUGUAACUCGUCAAAUGAACCACCUAAUUUUGCACAGAUCAGUAACCAUUCUGGUUAUGUGACUUCUGCCGAAUUGAUUGCACUGUAGAAUAAAAAUCGAUGGCUAUAAUUGAAUAAAUCUUUUCCAUGCUUUGUUCUCUUACCUGUCUUGUUAUUCUUAAUUGUAGAUUGUAUAUAUUUAAAAUUUUUUUAUAUUUAUUUAUUGGGUUGCUCUGGGUCUUAGUUGUGUCAGGCGGGCUCCUUAGUUGUGGCUCGCUGGCUCCUCAGUUGCGGCAUGCAUGUGGGAUCUAGUUCCCUGACCACGGAUUGAACCCGGGCCCCCUGCACUGGGAGCGUGGAGUCUUAACCACUGUGCCACCAGGGGAGUCCGUCGUAGAUUGUAUUUAAAUUGUCACUAGAUUGUAUUUUUAUAGUUGUGCCUUCAAUUCAUUAAAAUUACAUGCUGCGAAAACAUAAUCAGGUAUUACUUUUCUCAGAAAGAGGGAGGAUCUGAGAAAGUCAUUUUUGGUUUUUGGCUAUGCUUUGUUCUUGGUGGGAAUCAGGAAAUCAUGUUUCAGAUUUAAAUAAAGAAACAACAUUUAGGUUUUAGGCGAACGAGGUUAGUACAUUCUGGGUUUUCCCUCAAAUCGUUCUCGUUUAACUGUUUAAUCGUUUAAAGAAAUCAUUGAUUUCUAGUGAGAGAAGGGAAACACGUUAAGUUCAGAUACAUAAAACCUAGAAGUCUUCCAUUGAUUCUCCCCGCCUCCCAGGAAUGAGGCGUUUGGACAAAAGUAAUUGCACGGAACCUUUGUUAGUUCCAGAAUUUCGAGCCUCCAAGUCCAGGGAACAGCGAUGGACAGCAGGAGAAGCAUUCUGGGGGUUGGAAUGCCUGCGAGCGGAUCAGUAGCCCUGCUGUGCUUCUGUGAUCCCAGCACACAAGAAUUCUGCCCUUUUGCACCGGGCAGGGUCUUGAUUGGGCCAGGCCAGUUAAUGUAGCUGUUUUCCCCCAUUCAGACGCUGCAUUAGGGUUCAGAACCUGGGCAGGGUAGGGAGAGCCUCUCGAAGCCAAACACUCCCAGAAAUCCCAGGUGGGAUGCGAGGGAGCGCCACCCACUGGGACCGCCAGCAUCCCCGCUGCCCCUGAUGCUCUGCUGAAAGGAAUGAAGCAGCUUCACUUCUUGCAGUGGAGUAGCUCAUUUUCAGAUGUGGUGGAGUAAAAGCGGGAAAGAUUUUGGACUUCCCUGGUGGCGCAGUGGUUAAGAACCUGCCUGCCAGUGCAGGGGGACACGGGUUUGAGCCCUGGUCUGGGAGGAUCCCACACGCUGCGGAGCAGCCGGGCCCGUGCCCCACAGCUGCUGACCCUGCGCGUGCUCUGGAGCCCGUGAGCCACAAGUGCUGAGCCCACGUGCCGCAACUGCUGAAGCCCGCGCGCCUGGAGCCCGUGCUCCGCAACGGGAGAGGCCACCCAAUGAGAAGUCUGCGUGCCGCGACGAAGAGUAGCCCCCGUUCGCCACAACUGGAGGGAGCCUGCACACAGCGACGAGGACCCAGUGCAGCCAAAAAUGAAAACAAAUUUAUUU